Long non-coding RNA from Notolabrus celidotus (New Zealand spotty), 321 nucleotides. RefSeq lists it as uncharacterized. The transcript is spliced from 3 exons. The record is from RefSeq and is a predicted model, not a curated record. Lineage: Eukaryota; Metazoa; Chordata; Actinopteri; Labriformes; Labridae.
CUUACGUCCUCUGAUGUAACUUUGGUUUUUACCUCCCGACAAACACGUUAGGAUACGGCCCGUGUGUUUCCUCUACACCUCAGAGGAAUGUAAAGGAAACACGCUUUGGAGCCUGAGCGUCCUCCCUGCAGAGAACAGAAGAUACAGACCGUUUACAGCAACACAGAGGACCCAACCAGAACCAUCUCACACUGUAAACAACAAAUGACUUCUUCUGAAAAAGAAGCAGAUAACGACAAGGAAGAGAGCGCCAAAUAUUGAGCCCACUACAGCCCCAACGAUCAUCCCCACGUUGUUGGCUACAGGAAGAAACAUGGGACA